ACGUACACUCCUACGGGAGGCAGCAGUGGGGAAUUUUGGACAAUGGGCGAAAGCCUGAUCCAGCCAUGCCGCGUGCAGGAUGAAGGCCUUCGGGUUGUAAACUGCUUUUGUACGGAACGAAACGGCCUUUUCUAAUAAAGAGGGCUAAUGACGGUACCGUAAGAAUAAGCACCGGCUAACUACGUGCCAGCAGCCGCGGUAAUACGUAGGGUGCAAGCGUUAAUCGGAAUUACUGGGCGUAAAGCGUGCGCAGGCGGUUAUGUAAGACAGUUGUGAAAUCCCCGGGCUCAACCUGGGAACUGCAUCUGUGACUGCAUAGCUAGAGUACGGUAGAGGGGGAUGGAAUUCCGCGUGUAGCAGUGAAAUGCGUAGAUAUGCGGAGGAACACCGAUGGCGAAGGCAAUCCCCUGGACCUGUACUGACGCUCAUGCACGAAAGCGUGGGGAGCAAACAGGAUUAGAUACCCCUGUAGUCCCAUG
This 479-nucleotide ribosomal RNA is filed under the name uncultured organism. RNAcentral describes it as "partial 16S ribosomal RNA". It matches the Rfam family "Bacterial small subunit ribosomal RNA", at positions 329 to 799 of the family's 1533-position model. The record is from RNAcentral.